Molecule: ribosomal RNA, 423 nt
Filed under: Triticum aestivum (bread wheat)
Lineage: Eukaryota; Viridiplantae; Streptophyta; Magnoliopsida; Poales; Poaceae
Description: partial small subunit ribosomal RNA
Source: RNAcentral
UUCUCCCCGUUUUUGUUCAACAUGGUGGUUGAUACCCUGGCCUAGAUCCUGGAUAAGGCCAAGGCCGUCAGACACAUUCUAGGCAUCGCCCUGCACUUGGUGGAGGGAGGCGGCGUAUCCCUCCUCCAAUACGCCGAUGACACCAUCAUCAUGGUGAAAGGCUCGGUGGCUGAGAUCUCAAACCUGAAAUUCCUACUUCUAUGUUUUCAACACCUGUGGGGCCUCAAAAUAAACUUCGAUAAAAGUGAGGUGAUGGUUCUGGGGUAUUCGCCCUCUGAGAGCCAGAGUAUCGCUAACCGACUUAACUGUCGGUUGGGGACAUUCCCUACUACCUACCUAGGGGUCCCCAUUAGUGAUUCCCGUCUGUCCGUGGCUGAUCUGAGACCCUCGGUGCUCAAGCUCCAACACCACAUCGAGUCGUGA